UGAUCAGUAGUUGGCAGAUGGUAGAGUGAUGUAGCAAGGACUGAUAUUAUUGCCCACUUAAAAUCAACUGCUGUUACUCCAAAGCCCAACACUACUACAAGGCUAGACUCAAUGCACACUCAUCCACAAUCUCUCUCUCUCUCUCUCUCUCUCUCUCUCUCUCUCUCACGCACCCAAAGGCGCUCACUCUCACACACACUCCAUACAAACAUCGCUCUGGAUUAAUAAUUAGGACAGUUGUUGUUAGUUAUCCAUGGAGAGGUCUAUUGUCUUCAUUGCUGAUAUCAUGCUGUCACGAUAUGGAGACCGAACCUGAACCUGGAGGGGUUGUAAUGCCAUGUGAUCUCAUAACACAACCUGCGUGUGUACAUCACAUCAGUUUUGUAACCAUGAGAGCAACACUGUGUGUGUACUUGUGUGAUUUAUGAUGACAGCCCAGAUGGUGGAAUUAUGAAAUGUUCAAUGUUCAGUA
Molecule: long non-coding RNA, 472 nt
Organism: Micropterus dolomieu (smallmouth bass)
Lineage: Eukaryota; Metazoa; Chordata; Actinopteri; Centrarchiformes; Centrarchidae
Exons: 3
Source: RefSeq, a predicted model, not a curated record